RNAcentral lists this ribosomal RNA (605 nucleotides) under Rossellomorea vietnamensis. RNAcentral's name for it is "bacterial SSU rRNA". It matches the Rfam family "Bacterial small subunit ribosomal RNA", at positions 68 to 658 of the family's 1533-position model. Lineage: Bacteria; Bacillati; Bacillota; Bacilli; Caryophanales; Bacillaceae. The record is from RNAcentral.
GGUUGAUGGGAGCUUGCUCCCUGAUAUCAGCGGCGGAGGGGUGAGUAACACGUGGGUAACCUGCCUGUAAGACUGGGAUAACUCCGGGAAACCGGGGCUAAUACCGGAUAACUCAUUUCCUCGCAUGAGGAAAUGUUGAAAGGUGGCUUUUACCUACCACUUACAAAUGGACCCGCGGCGCAUUACCUAUUUGGGGAGGUAACGGUUCACCAAGGCAACAAUGCGUACCCAACCUGAAAGGGGGAUCGGCCACACUGGGACUGAAACACGGCCCAAACUCCUACGGGAGGCACCAGUAGGGAAUCUUCCGCAUGGGACAAAAGUCUGACGGACCAACGCCCCGGGAGUGAUGAAGGUUUUCGGAUCGUAAAGCUCUGUUGUUAGGGAAAAACAAGGGCCGUUCAAAUAGGGCGGCACCUUGACGGUACCUAACCAAAAAGCCACGGUUAACUACGGGCCACCAGCCGCGGUAUUACGUAGGUGGCAAGCGUUGUCCGGAAUUAUGGGGCGUAAAGCGCGCGCAGGUGGUUCUUUAAGCCUGAUGUGAACCCAACGGUUCACCGGUGAAGGGUCAUGGAAACGGGGAACUGGAGUGCAAAGAGAAA